This 1465-nucleotide long non-coding RNA is filed under the name Ornithorhynchus anatinus (platypus). RNAcentral describes it as "lncRNA (ENSOANG00000050459.1)". Lineage: Eukaryota; Metazoa; Chordata; Mammalia; Monotremata; Ornithorhynchidae. The record is from RNAcentral.
UUCUAUUUUUCUAUUUUGAUGCUAUUGAUACCUGUCUACUUGUUUUGUUUUGUUGUCUUUCUCCCCCUUCUAGACUGGGAGCCCAUUGUUGGGUAGGGAUUGUCUUUAUCUGUUGCCAAAUUGUACUUUCCAAGCACUUAGUACAGUGCUCUGCACACAUAAGUGCUCAAAAAUGCGAUUGAAUUAAUUCAUUAAUUAAUUUAUGAAAUGUUUUCCUGCCCUAUGGUGGGGCUCUGGUUCCCGGAGAGUGAAGAAACAAUAUGGCCACAUAUGUUCCCUGGCACAGGGAGCAAUGGGUAGAGUCAUUCUGGGAAUCAAUCAAUCGGUCAAUUAAUAGUAUUGAUUGAGCACUUACUGUGUGCAGAGCAAUGACCUAAAGGCUUGUGAAUGUACAAUAAUGUUCGUAGACAUGAACCCUGCCCUCAGGGAGUGAACAUUUUAGUGGGAGACUCGGACACAAACUAAUCCAUCAGUGAAAUCCCAGUUUUGAGUUCUCCCCUCCCUGCCAGGACUGUGAGCCCCAUGUGGAACAGGGCCUGGGUGUGGCCUGAUUAUCUUGUAUCGACCCCACUGCUUAGUGCAGUUCUUCAAACGUAGAAAGAACUAUUGCAGCCUAGUAGAAUAGAAUACGGGCCUGGGAUCAGAAGGACCUGGGUUCUAAUCUCAGAUCCACCACUUGUCUGCUGGGUGACCUUGGGCAAGUCACUUAACUUCUCUGUGGCUCAGUUACCUCAUCUGUAAAAUGGGGAUUAAGACUGUGAGUCUUAUGUGGGUCACAGCCUGCAUCCAACCUGAUUAUCUUGUAUCUACCCCAGCAUUUAAUACUGUGUCUGGCACACAGUAACUCUUCCAACUGCCUCUGGCGAGUUCCGCCUGUGAUCGAUAAGACGUUCAAAUGCCGCCUUUCUAUCGGAGGGUGGAGCCCAGCAGGGUCAAGUCCUGGAACUAAUCCUGCAAAAGCAACUUCAGGUCCUGGUGAGAAGAACCUGGCUGCCACCAAACAGCAAAGAAUCUGCCUUUCUGCCGGGACUGCCGGGUGGAACAGCCCAGGGAGGUGUCGGGCUGGGAUGAAGAAGAUGGCAGGUUUCCCAGAAUCCUUCACAUCCAGAUUCCUCAUCCUCCUCUUUCUCCAGCUGCUCACGAUGGGUUCAGGUAGGAGUUUCUUUACCUUUUCACUACUCGUUGGGGACAUGUCAGAGGGAAAGAAUAAAUCCUCCAUGGGUCACCAGUGUGAAGGUUUCUCUCCAGAGAUCAGAGCAGAGUGAAUUGUUUGUCCUCUAAAUCAAUUGUGGGUUUAACCAAGCAUUUCUCACUUCCUUGGUGAACUCAUUCGCUCUCACAGCUUUGACUACCAUCUCUACGCAGAUGACACACAGAUCUACAUCUCUGCCCCUGUCCUCUCCUCCUCCCUUCAGGCUCGCAUCUCCUCCUGCCUCCAGGACGUCUCCACCUGAAUGUCUGCCCG